CAAUAGCGUAUAUUUAAGUUGUUGCAGUUAAAAAGCUCGUCGUUGGAUUUCUGUUGAGGUCGAACAGUGCCGCCCUAUGGGUGCGCAACUGGCUCGGCUUCGGCAUCUUCUUGGAGAGCGCAUCUGCACUUAACUGUGUGGAUCGUACUUCAAGUCAGUUACUUUGAGGAAUUGUGAGUGUUUCAAGCAGGCUUACGCCGUUGAAUCCGUUAGCAUGGAAUAAUAGGAUAGGACCUCGGUUCUAUUUUGUUGGUUUUGAGAGCUGGGGCAGCGAUUGAUAGGGACGGAUGGGGGCGUCCGAACUUUACUGUCAGAGGUGAAAUUCUUAGAUCGGUCAAAGGCGAACUACUGCGAACGCAUUCGCCAAGAAUGUUUUCUUUAA
This 382-nucleotide ribosomal RNA is filed under the name uncultured eukaryote. RNAcentral describes it as "partial 18S ribosomal RNA". It matches the Rfam family "Eukaryotic small subunit ribosomal RNA", at positions 592 to 976 of the family's 1831-position model. The record is from RNAcentral.